RNAcentral lists this ribosomal RNA (232 nucleotides) under uncultured bacterium. Its description in RNAcentral is "partial 16S ribosomal RNA". It matches the Rfam family "Bacterial small subunit ribosomal RNA", at positions 100 to 334 of the family's 1533-position model. The record is from RNAcentral.
CGGGACGGGUGAGUAAUGUCUGGGAAACUGCCUGAUGGAGGGGGAUAACUACUGGAAACGGUAGCUAAUACCGCAUAACGUCGCAAGACCAAAGAGGGGACCUUCGGGCCUCUUGCCAUCGGAUGUGCCCAGAUGGGAUUAGCUAGUAGGUGGGGUAACGGCUCACCUAGGCGACGAUCCCUAGCUGGUCUGAGAGGAUGACCAGCCACACUGGAACUGAGACACGGCCCAG